RNAcentral lists this ribosomal RNA (372 nucleotides) under uncultured Lactobacillus sp. Its description in RNAcentral is "bacterial SSU rRNA". It matches the Rfam family "Bacterial small subunit ribosomal RNA", at positions 149 to 508 of the family's 1533-position model. Lineage: Bacteria; Bacillati; Bacillota; Bacilli; Lactobacillales; Lactobacillaceae. The record is from RNAcentral.
UUUGGAAACAAGUGCUAAUACCGUAUAACCAUGAUGACCGCAUGGUCAUGAUGUAAAAGGUGGUUUUGCUAUCGCUUUUGGAUGGACCCGCGGCGUAUUAACUAGUUGGUAAGGUAACGGCUUACCAAGGUGAUGAUACGUAGCCGAACUGAGAGGUUGAUCGGCCACAAUGGGACUGAGACACGGCCCAUACUCCUACGGGAGGCAGCAGUAGGGAAUCUUCCACAAUGGGCGCAAGCCUGAUGGAGCAACGCCGCGUGAAUGAAGAAGGUCUUCGGAUCGUAAAGUUCUGUUAUUAGAGAAGAACACGUGUAAGAGUAACUGAUUAUGCGUUGACGGUAUCUAAUCAGCAAGUCACGGCUAACUACGUGU